Molecule: long non-coding RNA, 1313 nt
Organism: Galleria mellonella (greater wax moth)
Lineage: Eukaryota; Metazoa; Arthropoda; Insecta; Lepidoptera; Pyralidae
Exons: 3
Source: RefSeq, a predicted model, not a curated record
AAGGGCGGACACUUUCGUUUGUCACUCGAGACCUAUUAUGGUCGAGUUACCUGUAAAUUAUACUAUUUAAAGUCCAUAAACCGGUAGUUAUACAAUCCAAUCGAGUUAAAUAGUUCGGGUUGCGGUUACAGUAAACUGUAUACUUUAAAACUAUUUCCGUUAAAAAAUCCGUUACCAUUAACUACGUAAACUACCUUUAUGUUCGAAAUUUAGGGAUUGUUAGUAAUGCGGACUGCCAGAUCCAUUGCUAGCAAUACACCUUGUCAGGUCGACCUCCACGUGGUCUCCUCUAGUAACCAUCGUGCUGAAUUACAGGUGUAUUCAUCGCGAUGGGAUAAUUAACCUGCCUAUUCAUUCACACCUAUCAUCCCUCACUAGUGCAUCAGCGCAGGCAGAGUUACCAUUCCAUUAUCGUCCAUUAAAAAAAAGUACCUUUAUGAGUUGGUAAAACAAAUUAAGAAUUAUUAGACUAAUCUUAAAAGAUAGAAUUUUUCAAAAAAUUUAGAAGAAUAGAAUGUAUAUUUAUUUAUAUGUAUUAUUAUAUCCAAUAAUGAAGUAGCGCGUUCGUGAUUCACUGUUCAUCCCAAAGGUUGACUGGUAGAGAACGCUACUAACAAUAAGUCCUUUUGUACCAUAUUUUAUUUUGGUCAAUAAAGUUAUUAUAGAUAAAAUAAACAAAUAAACUAUUCUUUGUACGAAAUAAAAAUUUAAAAAUCUCCAAAAACAAGUAUGCAGAAAAAGGAAACUAGUCAGAUAAAACUGGGAGAAACAACCAGUAUUACAAACUUUAAGAUAUCACUCACCGCUGAUGCAUACCACAACAAUGAUUCAUCAUAGUUGGAAUCAAUGCACUUGUUCCGAGAAUUGAAUUCGGCGUGCGCACACGCAGCUAACAAAACAAAUCCUCUAGUCAUCACUCUUACAACCUUACGAUACGGUUUAACAUUAUUUUUAUCAGUUAUCAGAACGGGUUUAACAUGUACAAUACACUACGUAUGUGGAUACCAUUUCACCGUAUUUAUAUAAAAAAAAAAGCAAAACCGAACACUUACCUUCGUACAUCUGCGCGUACUGCGGGAAACCAGCUGCUCGUAGCCAUUUGCAUGCUUCCGUCGCUUCGAUCUCUGGCAAAGGGCCAAUCAGUACUAUUGUAGGGUCGACGUGUACUAAUGUCUAAAUAAUGGACGAAAGCAGAUACAAAGCUAUAAAAUGGACGCGCGCAGAUAAGCCGUGAAAGCGAUUGGAUACGGCAGUUUCUUGUCACGUAGACUGUUACGUCAUUACGUUAGUAGGGAACGUGUGAUUAGUUGCCG